This is a long non-coding RNA of Betta splendens (Siamese fighting fish), 1302 nucleotides long. The record is from Ensembl. NCBI's taxonomy places the organism in Eukaryota, Metazoa, Chordata, Actinopteri, Anabantiformes, Osphronemidae.
AUGAGAGACAAUGUACCACAUGAGAUACCGGCUCAGACGUCGCCCGGUCUAAUAAGGUCUGCGUCAGGUGUUGGGGAACCAGAGCACCUUGGCGAGAAGUGGGCUACUGGAACAAGAAAGAAAUGGCUGAGAUGCGAGAACAAGGCUCUGUUGGAAUGCUACUACUCAAAUAACCCUAGUCAGAGGGGCUACAUGCAAAGAAUGUUUGGUGAAUGGGAACGGAGAAACCCACAUUCAAGGCUGACGGCGAAGCAACUAGUAGCUCAGUGUUCCAACAUCCACAAACGGCAACUGCUAUCACAACUUGAGAUUGACGAGAUACAACACAAAUGCUACGGCAAGGGGGAGCCAGGACGCCAGGCCAGAGGGGAGGUUUCACCAUCUCCCCAACCGGAAAUUGGGUACGAAGCCCCAAUAAGCACAGAUACGCUGAGCGAGGCAGCGACUGACCUGAAAGAUAAGAUCAUGGCGAGAUUGAACAGGCAACCCCGAACCCCACUACAACGGCUAAGUGAAGUACCAUCAGAAAGUCUCAUGGAAGAUGUGAAUGCAGCAUUGAGAGCGAUCCCUACCACAACAAUCACAGAAACCAAUGAGCUGAUAUACGCUUCAGCAUCAGUGAUCCUAGAGGUGCUUGGCUAUAAGAGCAACCAUGGGAGCCAUGAGAAACAAUACCCACCAUGGAAACGAAGGUUGGAGGCAAAAAUCAGGGCAGCUCGGAGGGAAGUGAGCCAAAUGACAGAGGCCCAGAGAGGUGCAAUGAAAAGACCGAUGCCCAAGAGGUACAGCCAUAUGCCCAUACCUGAAGCACUCGAAACUGCCAAGCAAAGGCUACAAGCCUUGGCCAGCCGCCUAAAGAGAUACACCAGAGAUAACGAAGCCAGACGAAUAAACCGGCUGUUCGCAACACAACCUGCGAAAGUGUACUCUCAAUGGCAGGGUAAUAACAACAGAGCAGACCCACCAAGGCUGGAAACUGAACAGUACUGGAAGGGUAUAUGGGAAAGGGAGGCAUCACACAACAGUGAUGCACAGUGGCUGGUGGAUCUGAGGGAAGACCACAGGAACCUCCCUGAACAGAAUCCAGUGACUAUCACAGUGGCAGACAUCCAACAUAGAGUCUCAGGUAUGAAAAACUGGACAGCACCUGGCCCUGACAUGAUCCACGCCUACUGGCUAAAGAAGCUCACUGCAAUCCAUGAGCGCCUGGCAGCACAAAUGAACCAGCUGCUAAGGGAUGGGACUCACCCUGAAUGGCUAACCGAAGGGCGAACAAUCCUGAUAAUGAAGGAAACCCCUUAA